GGGGGCCGGGGGCCGGGUCGGGCGCCCGAGGUCCUGGGCCGGGGUUCCGUGGGUUCGACGCCCCUGGGCCUUUCAGUGGCGCGGGCCGACUGGCCGUGGCGCUCGGGUGCGCGCCGUGCACGCGGUGAGCUGGAGACGCAGGCAUUGCGCGGCCCACCAGCCGAGCCCGCUGUCCCUGCGAGGGGGGCGCAGCUCGGUGGAGAGGGUGGCCCGGAGGACCGGGAACCGGGCUGGGGGCGCGCGGGGCUCACACAGCGGGGUCCGCGGGGAGCCGGGCCUCGGGCUGCAGGUGCAGGCUCGUGGCGGUGAGGCGGCCUGGAGCGGCACGGGAGCCCGCCCGUUUCGGGGAGAGCCCGGGGCGAUCGCGGGGGGAGGCCGGCCUGGCGUCUGGGAGCCCGGCGUGCUAGGGCCCGGUAGGCGGGGCGGGCCUCGGACUCGGUUGCUCGCUGCGGCGCCGGAGGAACGGGUCUGUGGGGGUGUGGGUGAGGCCAGAAGUCGGGUCGAAGAGGGGGAGGGGGUGCGAAGAGAUGGCCGUGUGUAGACAGGUGACCCGGUGGGUCGGUGACGCAGGAGGAGAGUGCGCUUGGUGGCGGGAUGACUUAGUUGACAACAUUUAAAAAUUGGGAGGUGCGGCAGGGCGCGGUGGCUCACGCCUGUAAUCCUAGAACUUUGGGAGGUCGAGGCGGGUGGACCACCGGAGGUCAGGAGUUCGAGACCAGCCUGGCUAACCUGGUGAAACCCCGUCUCUAUUAAAAAUACUAAACAAUUAGCUGGGCGUGAUGGCGGGUGCCUGUAAUCCCAGCUACUCGGGAGGCUGAGGCGGGAGAAUCACUUGAACCCAGGAGGCGGAGGUUGCAGUGAGCCGGGAUUGCGCCAUUGCACUCCAGCCUGGGCGACAGAGUGAGACUCUGUCUCAAAAAAAAAAAAAAAAAAAAAAAGGGGAGGUGCUCAGUCAAGCCUCUGAGAGGAGGGGAGCGGGGGAGGAGUCCGUUGCUCAGAGCCCCCUAGGGACUGGGACCCGUUGACUCUGAGCUGCUUUUGAGGCUGGAUCACGUACCAGCGGCCUGGGGGUCGUACAGGAUGGGAGAGGCCGGGGCUUGGGAUGUUGCCAGAUCUACGUUGAAAAGUGAAGCAGGAAGCGAGGCACCAAGGCUGGGCACAUGGGGAAAACCGCGGAGAGCCGGCCUUUGGGGACAAGAAGAGUGGGAACAGUGGUUGACAAAUGGAAGGCGGCGUGGCGGCUCACACCUGUAAUCCCAGCACUUUGGGACACCGAGGCGGGUGGAUCACCUGAGGCCAAGAGUUCGAGACCAGCCUGGCCAACAUAGUGAAACAUCAUCUCUACUAGAAAUACAAAAAUCAGCUGGGCGUAGUGGUGGGUGCCUGUAAUUCCAGCUAUUCAGGAGACCAAGGCAGGAGAAUAACUUGAACCCAGGAGGCAGAGGUUGCAGUGAGCCGAGAUUGCUCCACUGCACUCCAGCCUGGGCAACAGAGCAAAAACUCCAUCUCAAAAAAAAAAAAAAAAAAAGGGGGGACACCAAUUCCCAGCACUCCAGGCCUAACUUCAUAGCACCCACAUCAUGUCAAGUGAGUAACCAAAAAUCAGUGUGCAUAUGUACACACCUAUACAUAUCUCAGGCUAAGUUUUCUGUAAGGGUUCUUUUUAUUGCAGAGACACUGCUUUUUUUCUGGUUUAUGAAAUACAGUGAACAUUUAUGGACACAAAGCUGAGGUGACAGGGUGGGGAGGGGAGCCUUGGAACAGCACCAAGAAUCCUGGUUGAACCCUCCAAGUGAAAAGAUCCUGCCACAACAUACGUGAACCAGGUGGGACACGUGAGCACGUCUCACCUGAUCCGGCCUGUGGUGGGGAGAAGCAAUUGAGGAAGGCCUCCUGGGCAGGAGGAAGCUGUUGCUGAGGCUGCUGAGCAGGAUGUGUUGGGCCUGUGACUUAAGCAGAAAGGGCACUCAGGCCCACAUGUUCAGAUGUGAGGACCUGCUUGCUGUGCUCAGGGAGCCACAAGUCACCUGGUCUUAGGGAAAGGUGAGGGGACUGGAGAAUUCUGAGGACCUUGAGGUAGAUUGGCCCUGCCAGGCAUGUAGGCUGGCUUUAGCUCACUGAUAUGCCUUGUUUAGCCCAGAGAGGUUUUCUUUUUUUAAUUGAUUACUUGAUUUAAGAAACAUUUAAAAAUUAGGAUGUGCUAUUUUGAAUGUUUAUCCUCUAUGAAACUCAUGUUCAAACUUAACCUCCAAUGUGGCAGUACUGAGAGGUGGGGCCUCUAAGGGUGGUUGGGAUUAAUCUGUCGAUGGAUUCAUGGAUUGAAGUGUUAUCACCGAAGUGGGACUGGUGGCUCCAUUAGAAGAGGAAGGAAGACCUGAGCUGGCCUGUGAGCAUGCUCAGCCCGCUGGCCAUGUGACACCUGCGCCACCCUCAGGACUCUGCAGAGUCCCCAGCAGCAAGAAGGCCCUCACCAGGUGCAGCCCCUCAACCUUGGACUUCUCAGCCCCCAGGGCUGUAACAAAUAAAUUCUUUUUUAAAGUAAA
This is a long non-coding RNA of Symphalangus syndactylus (siamang), 2543 nucleotides long. RefSeq lists it as uncharacterized. The record is from RefSeq and is a predicted model, not a curated record. Lineage: Eukaryota; Metazoa; Chordata; Mammalia; Primates; Hylobatidae.